AAAAAAUCAUUUUUUUUUACCAAUCGCUAAUUUUUAGGCUUAUAUAUGAAUACCCUUUUCCCUUUUACCUGAAUAAACUCAUACCGCCGGCGGCAAAAAGACUAGUAUAGUGUUAGAAAAAAAAAUGACACAGCUUGAGUGUAUUCUUUCUGCCGGAGAAGAUGUUGACAGAACUGUUGUUGUUGGAAUGAAGCUUGAUGGUGCAAGUAGAGAGCUUUUAACAUGGGCUCUUGUUAAAGUUGCUCAACCUGGUGAUCGAGUUAUUGCUCUUCAUGUUUUGAAUAAUAAUGAAAUUGUAGAUCGUGAUGGGAAAUCCUCAUUGUUGUCGUUGGUCAAAGCAUUUGAUUCAGUUCUUGCAGUUUAUGAAGGUUUCUGUAAUCUCAAGCAGGUGGAUCUUAAGUUAAAGAUAUGUAGAGGUACAUCAAUCCGAAAAAUUAUUGUUCGUGAGGCGAAUGCUUACUUAGCAACUGAUGUUAUAGUUGGUACUGCUAAUCAUACUAUACGAUCAUCAGCUUCAGUUGCAAAGUACUGUGCUAGAAAGUUGCCUAAAGAUUGUUCGGUAUUGGCUGUUAAUAAUGGGAAGGUUGUUUUUCAAAGGGAGGCUUCGUUAGCAUCGUAUGCCAGUUCAAAAGAACUUGAGCAUCACCAUGGGAAUCGUUUGCUUAGUGUAAUUCAGCGGACGCUGACUAAGAACUCGAAAGUAUUAAAUGACAGCACUGGGCUGAGGCCAACAAAUUCCUGCAGGGAAGGUGGUUAUCAGACUCUGGGUGAGGCAUUACUGAAAGCUGCUUCUGCAUCAGCCGACAAUUCCCUUAGACAGAACUGUUCAGUUUGUUCACCCAACUGCCUGUUGCCUGAUAAUUCUUGCACCCAAACACACGAAGAGCCUUCAGACAGUAAUCAUGAUGAUAAUUCAUUGGCGAUAGUACCUGUGCAAAGCCAGGAAUCAGGAUCUAGUUCGAUUACGUUGCUAGUAAAGGAUUUGCCUGAAGUGAGGCCUGGUUGGCCAUUGCUUCACCGAGCCAUUUUAUCAAAUCAACAAACUGCAGACACUUUGUCAAUAAGAAAACUCUCAGUUGUCCAGUGGGCAUUGUGUCUGCCGACUAGACAUCUUUUGUGCAUUGAGGAUGCAGACAGGAGAGAUCUACACUCUGCUGCUGAUGAAAGUCAAGCUCCUGCACUAGACGAAAAAAGUGGUGCAAUUGUUCCUGUCAAUCACGAGACAACGUCCUCAAAAUCUUCUCCAGAAAAUUCUCCAAGAGCCUUACCAAGAGAACUGGAUGGACUUCAUGUGAAGUACUCUGCAACGUGUAGGUUGUUUAAAUUCCAGGAACUUCUCUUGGCAACCUUGAACUUUUCCUCAGAGAACAUUAUUGGUAAAGGAGGAAGCAGUCAGGUUUUCAAAGGCUGUCUUCCUGAUGGCAAAGAACUUGCUGUGAAGAUCUUAAAACAAUCCGAAGAUGCAGUGCGAGAGUUUGUUUUGGAAAUUGAGAUUAUUACUGCUUUGAGUCACAAAAACAUAAUCUCCCUAUUUGGAUUCUGUUUUGAGGACAACCACCUUCUCCUUGUAUAUGAUUUUCUAUCUAGGGGAAGCCUCGAAGAGAAUCUACAUGGUAAUAAUAAGAAUCCACUCGCGUUUGGGUGGAAAGAGAGAUACAAAGUUGCUGUUGGUGUUGCCGAGGCACUAGAAUAUCUUCAUGGCAGAGAUGAUCAACCAGUGAUCCACCGUGAUGUAAAAUCGUCAAAUAUACUACUGUGUGAUGAUUUUGAGCCUCAGCUCUCUGAUUUUGGACUUGCU
RNAcentral lists this unclassified non-coding RNA (1798 nucleotides) under Hevea brasiliensis (rubber tree). The record is from RNAcentral. Lineage: Eukaryota; Viridiplantae; Streptophyta; Magnoliopsida; Malpighiales; Euphorbiaceae.